ACGAGAAAAAGUUAUCACUCUCCUUGAUAAAGAUGGAAGAAGUCUUCAUGGCCUUUACAACACAUAUAUGGUUAGGUCAUUGCCACCUACUCUGUGUUAUCUAACCAUGACAGAGC
This 116-nucleotide non-coding RNA is filed under the name Phascolarctos cinereus (koala). Lineage: Eukaryota; Metazoa; Chordata; Mammalia; Diprotodontia; Phascolarctidae. The record is from RNAcentral.